AUUGAACGCUGGCGGCAGGCCUAACACAUGCAAGUCGAGCGGAGCGGCGGACGGGGGAGUAAGGCCUAGGUAUCGGCAUGGGCGUGAGGGAUAACGUCAGGAAACGGGAGCUAAUACCACAUACUAUCAGAUGAGCCUGGGUCGGAUUAGCUAGUUGGGGGGGUAAGGGCCUACCAAGGCGACGACCCGUAACUGGUCUGAGAGGAUGAGCAGUCACACUGGAACUGAGACACGGUCCAGACUCCUACGGGAGGCAGCAGUGGGGAAUAUUGGACAAUGGGCGAAAGCCUGAUCCAGCCAUGCCGCGUGUGUGAAGAAGGUCUUCGGAUUGUAAAGCACUUUAAGUUGGGAGGCGUUACCAACAGAAUAAGCACCGGCUAACUUCGUGCCAGCAGCCGCGGUAAUUC
RNAcentral lists this ribosomal RNA (407 nucleotides) under uncultured bacterium. RNAcentral's name for it is "partial 16S ribosomal RNA". It matches the Rfam family "Bacterial small subunit ribosomal RNA", at positions 30 to 526 of the family's 1533-position model. The record is from RNAcentral.